Molecule: ribosomal RNA, 253 nt
Filed under: uncultured bacterium
Lineage: Bacteria
Description: partial 16S ribosomal RNA
Rfam family: Bacterial small subunit ribosomal RNA
Source: RNAcentral
GACGUAGGGGGCCAGCGUUGUUCGGAAUUACUGGGUGUAAAGGGUUCGUAGGCGGUGUGGCAAGUCGGGAGUGAAAUCUCUGGGCUCAACCCAGAGGCUGCUUCCGAAACUGCUGUGCUUGAGUGUGGGAGAGGCGCGUGGAAUUGCAGGUGUAGCGGUGAAAUGCGUAGAUAUCGUAAGGAAGACCAGUGGCGAAGGCGGGUCUCUGGACAGUUCCUGACGCUGAGGCACGAAGGCCAGGGGAGCAAACGGG